AGAGUUUGAUCCUGGCUCAGGACGAACGGCUGGCGGCGUGCCUAACACAUGCAAGUCGAACGAAGCUUGAAUUCAGAUUCUUCGGAAUGAAGAAUGAUAUGACUGAGUGGCGGACGGGUGAGUAACGCGUGAGCAACCUGCCCUUCGGAGGGGGAUAGUGUCUGGAAACGGACAGUAAUACCGCAUAACGUAUUUUUACCGCAUGAUAGAAAUACCAAAACUGAGGUGCCGAAGGAUGGGCUCGCGUUGGAUUAGAUAGUUGGUGGGGUAACGGCCUACCAAGUCAACGAUCCAUAGCCGGACUGAGAGGUUGAACGGCCACAUUGGGACUGAGACACGGCCCAGACUCCUACGGGAGGCAGCAGUGGGGAAUAUUGCACAAUGGGGGAAACCCUGAUGCAGCAACGCCGCGUGAAGGAAGACGGUUUUCGGAUUGUAAACUUCUGUUCUUAGUGAAGAAAAUGACGGUAGCUAAGGAGCAAGCCACGGCUAACUACGUG
RNAcentral lists this ribosomal RNA (500 nucleotides) under uncultured Eubacteriales bacterium. RNAcentral describes it as "bacterial SSU rRNA". It matches the Rfam family "Bacterial small subunit ribosomal RNA", at positions 8 to 507 of the family's 1533-position model. The record is from RNAcentral. Lineage: Bacteria; Bacillati; Bacillota; Clostridia; Eubacteriales.